AUUGAACGCUGGCGGCAUGCCUUACACAUGCAAGUCGAACGGCAGCACGGGAGCAAUCCUGGUGGCGAGUGGCGAACGGGUGAGUAAAGUAUCGGAACGUGCCCAGUCGUGGGGGAUAACGUAGCGAAAGUUACGCUAAUACCGCAUACGAUCUAUGGAUGAAAGCGGGGGAUCGCAAGACCUCGCGCGAUUGGAGCGGCCGAUAUCAGAUUAGGUAGUUGGUGGGGUAAAGGCUCACCAAGCCGACGAUCUGUAGCUGGCCUGAGAGGACGACCAGCCACACUGGGACUGGGACGCGGCCCAGACUCCUACGGGAGGCAGCAGUGGGGAAUUUUGGACAAUGGGCGAAAGCCUGAUCCAGCCAUGCCGCGUGCAGGAAGAAGGCCUUCGGGUUGUAAACUGCUUUUGUACGGAACGAAAAGGUUUGGGCUAAUAAGCUGAGCUCAUGACGGUACCGUAAGAAUAAGCACCGGCUAACUACGUGCCAGCCGCCGCCGUAA
This 500-nucleotide ribosomal RNA is filed under the name uncultured bacterium. Its description in RNAcentral is "partial 16S ribosomal RNA". It matches the Rfam family "Bacterial small subunit ribosomal RNA", at positions 30 to 523 of the family's 1533-position model. The record is from RNAcentral.